GUGCUCACUUUGGCAGCGCAUGUACUGGAAUUGGAACGAUACAGAGAAGACUAGCAUGGCCCCUGAGCAAGGAUGUGCAAAUUUGCGAGGCGUUCCACAUUUUU
Small nuclear RNA from Nycticebus coucang (slow loris), 104 nucleotides. The record is from RefSeq and is a predicted model, not a curated record. Lineage: Eukaryota; Metazoa; Chordata; Mammalia; Primates; Lorisidae.